RNAcentral lists this ribosomal RNA (253 nucleotides) under uncultured bacterium. RNAcentral describes it as "partial 16S ribosomal RNA". It matches the Rfam family "Bacterial small subunit ribosomal RNA", at positions 524 to 776 of the family's 1533-position model. The record is from RNAcentral.
UACGUAGGGUGCAGGCGUUAAUCGGAAUUACUGGGCGUAAAGCGUGCGCAGGCGGUUUGCUAAGACAGGUGUGAAAUCCCCGGGCUUAACCUGGGAACUGCGCUUGUAACUGGCAAGCUAGAGUGUGGCAGAGGGGGGUGGAAUUCCACGUGUAGCAGUGAAAUGCGUAGAGAUGUGGAGGAACACCGAUGGCGAAGGCAGCCCCCUGGGCUAACACUGGCGGUCACGCACGGAAGCGUGGGGAGCGAACAGG